Tupaia belangeri (northern tree shrew) is the source of this 96-nucleotide microRNA precursor. The record is from Ensembl. Lineage: Eukaryota; Metazoa; Chordata; Mammalia; Scandentia; Tupaiidae.
GCUGUGGGCAUCUGGCACUGAGGUUCCUGCAUGAAAACGGUAGCUGGUGGUGCCUGGACCUACAACUCCACUUCGGCUGUCACAGUGAAGUCUGCC